RNAcentral lists this ribosomal RNA (262 nucleotides) under uncultured bacterium. Its description in RNAcentral is "partial 16S ribosomal RNA". It matches the Rfam family "Bacterial small subunit ribosomal RNA", at positions 338 to 592 of the family's 1533-position model. The record is from RNAcentral.
CCUACGGGACGCAGCAGUAGGGAAUCUUCCACAAUGGACGAAAGUCUGAUGGAGCAACGCCGCGUGAGUGAAGAAGGGUUUCGGCUCGUAAAGCUCUGUUGGUAGUGAAGAAAGAUAGAGGUAGUAACUGGCCUUUAUUUGACGGUAAUUACUUAGAAAGUCACGGCUAACUACGUGCCAGCAGCCGCGGUAAUACGUAGGGAGCAAGCGUUGUCCGGAAUUACUGGGCGUAAAGGGCGCGUAGGUGGGCGCUUAAGUCAGG